Molecule: ribosomal RNA, 253 nt
Filed under: uncultured bacterium
Lineage: Bacteria
Description: partial 16S ribosomal RNA
Rfam family: Bacterial small subunit ribosomal RNA
Source: RNAcentral
UACGUAGGUGGCAAGCGUUGUCCGGAUUUGCUGGGCGUAAAGGAUGCGUAGGCGGACAUUUAAGUCAGAUGUGAAAUACCCGAGCUUAACUUGGGUGCUGCAUUUGAAACUGGGUGUCUAGAGUGCAGGAGAGGUAAGUGGAAUUCCUAGUGUAGCGGUGAAAUGCGUAGAGAUUAGGAAGAACACCAGUGGCGAAGGCGACUUACUGGACUGUAACUGACGCUGAGGCAUGAAAGCUAGGGGAGCAAGCAGG